Molecule: long non-coding RNA, 641 nt
Organism: Poecilia latipinna (sailfin molly)
Lineage: Eukaryota; Metazoa; Chordata; Actinopteri; Cyprinodontiformes; Poeciliidae
Exons: 2
Source: RefSeq, a predicted model, not a curated record
AAAACUGCACCAUCCUGCCCCAGCUGCUCCCUCACUCACCCUUCAACUCCCACUUGAGUAGUAAUGAGGCACACCUGGCAUGCAUCACGGAUCACUUCACCAAAAAAAUAUCCAACCACUCUUUGGAUCAAAUAUGCAGAGCUGAAAGGAGCUGAGGGGGCACAUUCUCCUCCACAAUCCAUGAAGAGAAACUAAAUACAAUGAAACUUGUUGGAGAGAUGUGGUAGACCUGUCUGCUGGAAUACUGAUCAACAAAUGGCUUUAUGAAGAAGAAAAGCAGCUUGUUGUUCUGUCGUCCUGCAGGUGGAGAGGAUACUGAACUCACCUGCUUGUUCUUUAAACUCCGGAGCUGAAUGUAAAGUUUAUGUUGGGUUUGUAGUCAAAUCAACUGAUAUCUCUUAGAAACUAUGAAUACAGAAUACACCGACUGUUCUGAACAAAAGCCCAACAAAAGUUGUAUUUAAGCUCCUAGAAAUAGUGCAAUACUUUUAUUUUUCUCCUUUAAAUCUUCAUCUUAUUGACAUUAGAAGAGGAACAGCCUCAGUUUCGAGGAUUACAGGAAAAAGGUUGGAGGUUGAAGCUGUCAUUUGUGUAUUAAAAGCUGAUGAAAAAAAGACGGAAGGUUAUUAAAUGUGUUUGCA